UUUUUUUUUUUCUUUGGUAGGCUGUAAAUGCAAAUGUCUCUUUGAAGCGACUGGAGGAACUUCUCUUGGCAGAGGAAAGAAUUCUUCUGCCAAACCCACCUCUUGAACCAGGACUUCCUGCAGUCUCAAUCAAGAACGGUUCAUUUUCUUGGGAGUCAAAGGUUGAUAUUGAAAUCAUUUUCUAAAGUACUCGAGACAUUAUUUGGUUGUGUCCACCAAAGUAACAGAUCAGCCAUUGAUAGAAAUGUUAACAAUUUUGUUGGAUAGAAUAUUUAAAGUAUAAUUGCUGAACAUCUACAGGAUUUUUAUAAUGUUAUAUAAAACUUCAAGCCACACUGACAUCUUCUUUUACACACAAUUAUAUUUUCAUAAUUGACCCUGAGAAAGUUCAUCCUAAUUGCACACUGUUACUUUGUACCACAAAUCCAUGAAAAUCAUUAACUUAAGACCGUGAGAAAAAUAUUCAGAACAAACUUCUAUUCAUACCGAACUCAAUCCUUAUUGUUUGUGAUCAAGAUUAGCAAUUUAAAAAAUUUGUGGAGAACAGAAGACAUUUGAUCAUAGCAAUUUAAGAAUUUGGCUGGUACGUUCUGGCUACAUGAGGAAGUGUUGGAGCUUUCAAGUGCAAGCCUUUAGCUUAAAUUUGAAUAUCUGUCUCCUAUAUGUUUAUAGUUUAAUAAUUUAUACUCUGUUGGUUGUAUAUAUAUGUUACUAAUAGAUGUCUUGCAAAACAAUUCCACAUAAUAAACGCAUUUGAAAUUGUGUAAGCACGCUUUGAAAUUUACGUACGCUUGUGAUUCAUUCUAUUUGCAGGCAGAGCAGGUCACAUUGUCAAAUAUUAAUUUGGAUAUACCACAAGGUAGUCUUGUCGCAAUUGUUGGUAGCACUGGAGAAGGAAAAACAUCACUUGUAUCAGCGAUGCUCGGAGAACUUCCAGCAGUUGGAGAUACGGAAGUUGUCAUUAGAGGAACAGUUGCGUAUGUUCCCCAAGUAUCAUGGAUAUUCAAUGCAACAGUGAGUGAAAGCAGUUAUUUUGUUGUAUCAUUUUAUUUCCCUGAGCUGAAACCACUGGUUAAUAAAUUUAUUCAAUCUGAAUACUUGGCACUGCUUCUAUCCGAUGUAAGAGAUACAUUAUGUUUAAAAUAGCUUACAUAUGAUGUAACAAGAAAUGUUUAUAAUAUUGUGUGCAUUUUAGCCAAUAACUGUGCAAAAGGUUACUUAAAAACUAAAUUUACAUGCUACUUUGCGUGAUAUUCUUGUGUUGAUGUCUCAGGUACGACAGAACAUAUUGUUUGGAUCUGCAUUCGACCCUGCAAGGUAUUCAAAGGCAAUAGAUGUGACUGCAUUGCAGCAUGAUCUUGACUUGCUUCCUGUGAGUGCCAAUGCAUUUUUGUGCUGCUAAUUGAAAAGAGUGUAAUCUGAGAUUCAAAUUGUUUGACAUUUACAUGAUUUUACAGGGGAGUGAUCUUACUGAGAUUGGCGAAAGAGGGGUUAAUAUUAGUGGUGGGCAAAAGCAACGAGUAUCCAUGGCUAGGGCUGUAUACUCCAAUUCAGAUGUUUUUAUAUUUGAUGACCCUUUAAGUGCUCUAGAUGCUCAUGUGGCUCGACAGGUAGCUUUACUUUUAGUAACAAUGGGUAUUUACUUAAAUGUUAUUAAUUACUGCAUGCUUUCUGUUUCCCGACUUCAAAGAAAGACACUGUGUAUAGCGAAGGGAUGAAGUUGCUCUUAUUAUAAUUUUUCUUAUACUCUACCAAGGUUACAUGCCUCAACAAUAUUUUCUGCUGUACAAGAUUGGGCUAUCAGAAUUGUGUUUACUGUUAAUUGUUUAAUAAUACUUCCAGUGCAUUUCCAGGUUUUUGAAAAAUGUAUCAAGGAAGAAUUGAGAGGGAAAACAAGAGUUUUGGUCACAAACCAACUACAUUUUCUUUCACAAGUAGACAGAGUUAUUCUUGUGCAUGAAGGCAUGGUGAAAGAAGAGGGAACUUUUGAGGACCUGUCAAACAAUGGUCAGUUGUUCCAAAAGCUAAUGGAAAAUGCAGGGAAGUUGGAAGAAUACGUGGAAGAUAAUGAAGAUGGUUUGAACAAUGAUAGUACAAUUUCAAAACCUAUUUUAAAUGGUGAAACAGAAGAGGUUCCUAAGGAUGCAGGCCAGACAAAGAAAAAUGAAGAAAAAUCUAUACUUAUCAAACAAGAGGAACGGGAAACAGGCGUAGUCAGUUGGAAAGUUUUGGAUAGGUAAGAAGUAACUAAUUCUUUUGAGAAAUCUGAGUAUGUUUUAUACUCUGCUACUUGUGUUUAAUAUUUAGGCUGCUUUCUAUAUUAUAAACCUGACACAACCACUUGUAAUUUGAGUGCCUUUUCUGUCUGCUACUUUUGUUUAUUUUUUAGGCUGCUUCUUAUAUUACCACCCUGAUGCAGCCACGUAACUUUCUCAUUUUAAUGUUUCUGAGAAUAACUUCCCUGAUAAAAAAAUCAAACGUAAAGUUGAUUAUAUUAUAUACCAGGGUAGUUUUUAUUUAUUGUAAAGAUUUGAUUUCUGAUACAAUGUUUCUUGGGAACAUGUGGAUGUCGUACAUACUUUAACUCUAUGGUUAAGUGUACCAACAUGAUCUUUUGGUUGAGGUAAAAUAGACCAAGUUGUUGCAGUGGACCAAGUUGUUUCAGUACAUGUCUGUUCAUAUAACCUCUACAAACAUAUUUCUUUCUGCUAAUUACUUUUCCCCAAAAUUUAUACUUCACCUUAAUAUAAUUUUUAUGACUAAAUGAUGUAAUACAUCAUAAAAUCUUUGUUGAUGAAUGUCGUCAGUCUUCAGAUAUCAUACAUGUCAUCAUAUUUUUUUCUUAAUUAGGCCGGAUGGUGAUCAUACAUUUCAUUUAAUCUUUACCUGGUAUCCUUUCAACAUAUUAAAUGUAAAUGCUACAUCUAUAUACUAUCUUUUUGACUAAUGCCAUUUCUUGUUUCUCAGGUAUAAAAAUGCAUUAGGAGGAUGGUGGGUAGUUAUGAUACUCUUCUCGUGCUAUGUCCUAACAGAACUUUUGCGAGUUCUGAGUAGCACAUGGUUGAGUGUUUGGACAGAUGGAAGUAGCCCAAAGAGAUACGGACCUGGCUUCUACAAUUUGAUUUAUGCGCUUCUGUCGCUUGGUCAAGUAUGAUCUAAAUAUAAUCUGCAUCCUCCUAAGAAACUAUAUAACUUUUAAUUAUCUUUGUUGAAACUGCAAUAGUUACAUUCCUUCUUUCAAUUUGUUAGGUUCUGGUGACAUUGGCAAAUUCAUAUUGGUUGAUCUUAUCAAGCCUUUAUGCAUCUCGUAAAUUGCAUGAAGCAAUGCUCAAUUCUAUUCUAAGAGCGCCAAUGGUCUUUUUCCAUACCAAUCCACUUGGACGUAUUAUCAAUAGGUUUGCGAAGGAUCUCGGUGAUAUUGAUCGGAAUGUUGGGCCUUUUGUGAAUAUGUUUUUGGGCCAAGUGUCCCAGCUAAUUUCAACUUUUGUGUUAAUUGGGAUACUAAGCACAAUGUCUCUGUGGGCUAUAUUGCCACUUCUACUCUUGUUCUAUGGAGCCUAUUUAUAUUUUCAGGUACAUAAAAACUUCUUCCUUGUAGAUUCUUUUUAUUUUUUUGAAUAAUUCAGUAAAUUAAAGACACUUGAAUAUUAAUAAGUCUUGUACAUACUCAUUUACAACUUCACCUCGUAGAUGUAUGUAGAGCAAUGUAGUAAUAUCAGACAUGAUUGAUUAAGAUAUUUGCACACUAUAUCAGAGUAUCACACUGUUGAUGUUACCAGUUUUAUCAUCUAUUGAUAUUAACGUAUAAUAAAUGCAUAAAAUGAGAAGUAUUCUAUACUUGGAUAUUGGUGCAUAAAUGUUAGAAGAAGUAGUUUGAGAAACUGGUAAGACAGUCAUCUUCUUCCUUGAGUAAGAAAUAUUUCCCUAAAUGUCCUUGCAGAGCACGGCGCGUGAAGUGAAGCGUUUAGAUUCUAUUACUAGAUCUCCCGUCUAUGCGCAGUUUGGAGAGGCAUUAAAUGGCCUGUCAUCUAUUCGUGCAUAUAAAGCUUAUGAUCGGAUGGCCAACAUUAAUGCAGACUCCAUGGACAAUAACAUUAGGUUUACUCUUGUGAACAUGAGUGGAAAUCGUUGGCUGGCCAUCCGGUUGGAAACAUUGGGGGGAGUUAUGAUUUGGCUUACGGCAACAUUUGCUGUUGUGCAGAACGGAAGGGCAGAAAACCAGGAGGCUUUUGCCUCUACAAUGGGUUUGCUUCUCAGUUAUGCAUUAAAUAUUACAAGUUUAUUGACUGCUGUAUUGAGACUUGCAAGUUUAGCUGAGAAUAGUUUAAAUGCUGUUGAGCGUGUUGGCACCUAUAUAGAGCUGCCUCCAGAGGGUCCAUCUAUUAUUGAUAGCAACCGUCCUCCUCCCGGAUGGCCUACCUCAGGAUCAAUCAAAUUUGAGGAUGUUGUCCUACGUUAUAGACCGGAACUUCCUCCAGUCUUGCAUGGAUUAUCCUUUUCAAUUUCUCCAACUGACAAGGUUGGGAUAGUAGGAAGGACUGGUGCAGGAAAAUCCAGCAUGCUUAAUGCUUUAUUUCGAAUUGUGGAACUGGAAAAGGGGAGAAUUUUAAUUGAUGACUGUGAUGUUUCGAAAUUCGGACUGACAGAUCUUCGUAAGGUUCUUGGUAUUAUACCACAGGCGCCAGUUCUUUUUUCAGGUAAAAUUUUUAUGAAUACAUCUUUAUUAUUUUUGGUGUGGCCAGAAAUUUUUUAAAAAAACAAUAAGAAGCCAAAAUAAAAUGGACUGGGGUCAGUGUGGCCCUCAAAAUGGCACCUUUAAGUAUAUCCUGUUUCCGGGUAGAUUUAUAUUUGGCUCUAAAUUUUUAUAUUUGUUAAGGAACCGUGAGAUUCAAUCUUGAUCCCUUUGAUGAACACAAUGAUGCUGAUCUAUGGGAAUCAUUGGAGAGGGCACAUCUGAAGGAUGUCAUCAGGAGGAAUGCUUUGGGGCUGGACGCAGAGGUAUUUACGCAUGACACUAUUAUUUUAAUAUGUUGGGUUGAUAAUGUGGAUUUCAUUAAAGAACAAAUUGUUUCAUAAAUUUAUACGGCUCAUUUACCGACUUUCAGACCAUUCUAUCUUCUUCAUAGAAAAUCUUUCAGAAAUAUUGUUUGUAGAAAUUCUCUAUAAAUUACUUGUCAACUGAUGUGAUUUCUGUCAUUUUGCAAUUAGAGAACAAUUAUUUCAACUUAUGUAGGUUUGUGCAGAACUUUGACUACUGAAUUGUUAAAAGUUAACGCAGUGAUGGUUCUCAAGCUUUAGUGUAGAACUGACUGUUAUCAGUAAUAUCAAUCACAUCUGUCUCAACUAGCUUUAGAUACUCUUGUUUCAUUGUUCACUUAAUUCUCGUAAUGUCAGGCUUAACUUCAAAAUAUAAACGUGGCUUGCAAAAUUUGUUCUUGAAAUAUCUGUAGAAAAGAAGGAAUAUGUACACAAAUAUUUGCAUCAGCAAAAGUAUCGGCUAUUGCUUAGGUGCAGGCCAUAUAGCAUAAUCUUGCAUAUCGACAUAGCAAUUAACACCAAGCAACAGAAUUUUGUUUAAUAUUUGUGAUUUCAUAUACUCCUUGCUGAGACUAUGUGUCAUAUUUAUCACUGUAAGAAGAUCCCUUCAUUCAUGAAAACCUUUCAGACGGACAAUCUGCAUUUUGAACAGAAUUCAAAAUUGAAUUAGAUGUCAGAGCUCUUGUCUCUCCACAAAUAUUAUCUUUUUAAAUUAAAAAGCUGUAUCAUUUCUAUUUUUCAAGUGCUCAGGGAUAAGACUGUCGGAUAGAUCCACUUGUAGAAAACUUGACAUACUUCAGAAUAUGCUGGUCAACAGAAACCAGCUACUCUUAAUCUUUGCUUCAUCUAAGAGUUUUAUAUAUGUCAACUUGUCAAGGUUUCAGAGGCAGGAGAAAAUUUCAGUGUUGGGCAGAGACAACUACUAAGUCUUGCUCGAGCAUUGCUUCGCAGAUCAAAGAUUCUUGUUCUCGAUGAAGCAACAGCUGCUGUUGAUGUUAGAACGGACGCACUUAUCCAAAAAACUAUUCGUGAAGAAUUCAAAUACUGCACGAUGCUCAUCAUUGCUCAUCGACUCAAUACAAUUAUUGACUGCGACAAAAUUCUUUUGCUAGAUGCGGGUCAGGUGUGAAAUAUAUCUCAUGUCUUUUCUCUAUGUUAAUUGUUAAGGUUUACUGCAACUUGGCAUUUGUCUAAAAUGCAGAUUUUUGUAUUUUAAUUUUAAGUAUAGGUUAGCUGUGUUUUGCUGAUUGACAUAUUUGCAUGUAUUAGGUCCUGGAGUAUAAUACUCCCGAGGAAUUGCUUCUAAACGAACGAAGCUCUUUCUCUAAGAUGGUCGAAAGUACAGGCGCCGCAAAUGCUCAGUACUUGCGUAGUUUAGUACACAGCGGGGAAAGCGAGAGCAAAACGAGUACACAUGAAACUAAGCAACUAGAUGGACAAAGAAAAUGGCUAGCUUCAUCACGCUGGGCUGCUGCAGCACAGUUUGCUCUAGCUGUCAGCCUCACAUCAUCACAGAAUGACCUCAUACAGUUGGAACAUCUAGAAAAUGAUAACAAUAUUCUCAAGAAAACAAAGGAUGCAGUUAUAACUCUUCAAGGAGUUCUCGAAGGGAGGCAUAACAAAGUUAUUGAAGAGACUCUUGAUCAGUAUGAAGUCCCUAGAGAUGGAUGGUGGUCAGCUCUCUACAGGAUGGUUGAAGGUAAUCCUCAGCAUAUCAUACUUUUAAUGUCAUCGCUAACAUAUUAGAAACUAGCAAGGUCACUUGUGUUAAUUGUACUAAAGAUGUUUCAUCUUCCAAAUGGUCAGGCCUUUCAAUGAUGAGUAGGAUAGGUCGAAACAGGCUUCAACAUUCAGGAGAAGGUUUUGUAGAUGCCACAAUCGAUUGGGAUCAGAUCGAGAUGUAGUAGCGCAAUCUCUGUCUGUCAACUGAAGAUUCAAAUCUUCCGAUAUGCAAAAAACUAAUACUUCUUUUAAGAUAGUAAUGCAGUUGUAAUUUUGAGGGUGCUCAAUCAAAGGUGGCCUGCUUAUAUUUGGAGCUCAUCAUGCAAAUUCCUCUAAUGACAAACAGAUUUGAGGAAUGUAUACUACAGGUUAUAUAUAUUUAUCUUGUGCUGUUGGUUAAACUUGACUAACAGGACAGUUUUGCGUAGUGUCAGAUAUUUAAAGUUAGUAAAGCAUUUUCUGUAUACGAGACUUUUCCACUUGUGUGAUUUUGAUUAGUUUUUUCAAUACAUUUGUCUUGCCAAUCUUCAGCUGUUGAGCAUUUGAGCCGGGUGUUAGUCCUGAUUAUCAUGAAUAUCAAUGUUAAUAUGCUAAAUAUCACGGGCGAAAAAAAAAUAUCUCGAAUACGUUCAAAAUGCUACUUAAUAAAUGGUUUGUCCGAAAACGUUGUAUCAUGUAGCGUUGAAACAUUUUUUAAAUUUUAAAAUUGAUCAGAACACCACAUAAAAUUAUGUUUAAGCUAAAAUACUGCACCGUAUAACGUUUAAACGUUCUUUUUAUUUUUUUAAUAAAAAUUGAUCAAAACGCUACACGAAGUAGCGUUUCUAGGUAAGAUGCUAGAUGAUGUUACGUUCUGACUAUAAAACAUCACUUUAUGUUUUGUUUUGUUGUAGAACGUUACUCUAAGUGUGUUUUAACUUGUUAGUAGUACUAGAAUAAGUAACAUUACUGUUAUGCCCAAAAUUCAACAUGGACUUCACUGAUGGGCUAGGCCCAUAUAAAAGAUGAAGAUAUGGACUUACACACUGGAGAUCGGGCUCGGCAAUAUGUAGGCGUGCCCACAUCUCUGACCACGUCCAGAAUAAACUCUGAACUUUAGAAGGAAAAACUAUUUUGGGCCGACUUAGGCUGGAUCAUAUGUGGUCGCGCCCACAUGUCAGGCCGCGUCCACAUGUUAAGCCGCGCCCACAUCCCAGGCCGCAUCCACAUGUCCAACCGCGCCCACAUGCCAGGCCGCGUCCACAAAUCUGACCAUGUGCGGAAGGACCUUCGAUGAGGGCGCGCCCUGUUAUCAAACAGAAGACACAUUCGAAUAAUAUUACAUGAAAACGAUCUACAUGAAGGUAAGAAGGGCAGGAGGAGACAUAUUAUGCCUAAGGGGACGCCCUUAAGCAUAUGUGAAGCCUACUGUUAAUUGAUUAAAGACUUUAUCUUGUAGUCGAGUAGUUGUCCUCCUUGGGAGGUAGAAAAUGAAGACUAGAGGAGGUCUUGCUAUGUAGUCUGGCGAGUUAUCCUUGUCGGGGAGCUUGUGGAACCUUCUCGAAGACACGCCCUGGAAGGCUCUAUCUCUGUAGUCUGGCGGGUUGUCCCUGUCGGGGAGUAGAGAAGCGUCCUUGCAUUUGGGGUAAGUCUUGGGUGCUCGAGAGUCGAAAAGACCCAAGGCUAGGUCUCAUCGUAUUGGGCCCUGCAGGAGAAAGACAGCAGAAGGGGAAGCCUAAUCCAAUGAGGUUUCUUAGGAGAAAGAACUACGUACCGGCUUGAUCCCCUAUAAAUAGGGGUACGUAGACACAUCGUAGGCAUGGGCAAUUCUUGGGAACAAGAUGCCGGUGAAUAGACCUCUAGUUUUCUUCGCGAUCUUGAACCCUAUGCCUACGAUCUCAGCCACAUCCAAAUACACCACCACUCUCCGGGGCGAGUUUUAGGGAGCGGCCACCAUCGCAGAUCUUGAUUCUGGUUAUAACCUCCAAUUUUGUUAAUAACAAAAUUCCUCCGUUAACAAUUACCAAUAACAUAAAAAAGAUCAAAAAAAACUACUACUAUUACUACUUAUUAAUCAAUUGGCAUUACUAGUACAACUAUGUAAACUAAGAAUAAACUAAUAAUAUCUACAUAAAAAUGAAGAGACGAUUGAAUAAUAAUAUUUUUACUAGAUAAAGAUAAAGUGUACCCAAACGAAUAAUGAAGUUCACAGUCCUCUCAAGAUACCAAUUAAGAUAUCCGGUAAUUAUACCAUCACCAACAAUAAUGUCUGAACUAAAAAUAUGAUCUAAACAAGUGUUUCAAAUAGCUAUAUUUAGCCGAUGAUGUCUAUCAAAAUAAUUAAUAGUUUUUUGACCCUUCAACGUCAUCCUAUGAAACUCAUUAAACUACCCUGCAUCAUCUAGAAUAUGUUGGACCGACCCAAGGUAUCUGAACACUUUAUUAGGCAAAUACGUCUUUAUAAUGUAAACACAUAUUAUAGAGCCCCAAUAGCGCUAAAAAUGCAAACUAUUGAUAGAACAUAUAUUUAUAUAUGCUUUUAUAUGAUUUUAUUCCCAUAAUUGUAGUAUUUUGUAAAUAAUCGGGUAAUUACUAAUUGAUUUUAAGGGUUUAAUGGCAGAAAAAUAAACAUUCCUAAGUUGGAUGAAACUAGCUUGUUUGGACUUUUAUUUGAUGAAAAUUUAGACUUUUUGGGCUACCUGCGCAGCCAAUCUUGUUUGCGCCAUAACUUGAGUUCCGGACGUCAGAAUUGAGCAAUUCAACAACCCACGCGAAGAUAUCGGAAUUUUCUACAAGUUUAAAGUGGUCUAGAUAUCUAAAGACAAAUGGAUCAGCCCAUAAUCAGGCCUGAAAGUCAGCCUACGAAUUUCUUUUCAGAAUCCAACUUGUUUUAGGAAAUUGGAUUUGUUUUUCAAGGAAACCAUUAAAAACACUAUUAUUAUUAGGGUUUGUAUCAUUAGAGACAUAUCGAAUAUUGUGUAUUGAGAGAUAGAGGUAGAGAAAGCUUUCGGAGAUAACUCGAGCAAAGAUUGAAGGGAUUCAGUCCAAGUUCGAGAAAUUUCGUCAAGUUGUAUUUUCUUACUCUUAUUCUCUUGUGACAUGAUUUCAAUUAUAUAUAUAUAUAUAUAUAUAUAUAUAUAUAUAUAUAUAUAUAUAUAUUAAUAUAUAUGACAUAUGACAUACAUAUUCUUAUAUAUAUAUAUAUAUAUAUAUUCAUGUUUUCUUUAGUUGUUAUGGAUAACUAAUCCUCUAAUCCGAGGAUUGGGGAGUAUAUUUAUUGGCUUAAUAUGUUUGUUUGAGCUAAUAUUGUGAUUUCUCUAUUUAUGCUAAUCUGUCAUUGAGCGCUUAACACAGUUAUAGGAGUCGCGAACCUGUAAUUGUAUCUGUAGGAUUUAUAAUGAAUUGGGAGAGGAUUUAUACUUCUUGUACAUGAUAUGACAGACAUAACUCAAUUAAUUAAUCGGGAGAUUAUUAUGGGAGUUGUGAAACAGUAAAUCCUUGGUUCGUGAUAGCUUAUAAUUUGGUUUUAAUUGAUCAUGGGAGUGACUUCAAGGUUAAAUUAUAGGUAUUAUUUUGUAUCUUGGGAGAGAACAUUAUACUCAAUAGAAGAAUUUUUUUUAGCAGAGUAAAGACUUGUAUAUCACGAUUGAUUGAUAUUCAUUGUAGCUAGCAAAGAAACCUAAUUCUUGAAUUGUUUUUUAUCAUCGUUAAUUCACACUUUUAAUUGUUUUAUAAGUACAAUUUAGUUGAUAGUAAAAACACAACUUUUCUCUAAAAUUUCUAAAUUGAAAGGAAUAAUAAACUUGGUUUGAUAUUGUAUUCGGUCCUUCCCUGAGAAUGAACUUUACAUAAUUUCACUGCAACAACUAUAUGUUGGACCGACCCAAGCUAUCUAAACACUUUAUUAGGCAAAUACGUCUUUAUAGGGGUGUAUACGGUUCGGGUUGGGCGGUUUGAUGGAAUUUAUCAACCCAACCCAAUUAAAUCAGAUUUUCAAAAUUUCAACCCAACCCAAACCGUAUAAAUUUAUAACCCAAACCAUUUUGUUGUACAUCGGUUUGGAUCGGUUUGGUCGGGUUAAUAAAUUAUAUAACUAGAACGGAAAAUCUCAAGAUCCUAAAAAUGGAAAAUAGUUCAGCAAAAAUUAUAAUCUUCGGUGUCAAAUAGGUCUUCAACAUCCAGUUUUUUACACUAAAAAUACUUUAAAAUCUUGUCAAAGACAUAAAAUUGAAUUUAGUUAAAAAAAUAAGUAAUAACAAAUAAUGAACAUAUAUAUUCAUGAAUUUAAUCUCAUAUUCUCAUUCAUGUUUGUUUGCUACUUGAAUAGAUAAAUUUAUGGUCAUAAAUAUAUUUACGUAACAAACAAACAAUAUUCAUGUUUGUGUUCUCCUAAACAAACAUAAUAAUGAAUUUAAUCUCAUAUUCUCAUUCAUAAAUUUUAUCACAUAUAUAUUUAAAUAGCAAAUAGAAAUUACUAUAUUAAAUUUAAUUUAAGGAGCACACAAAUAUAAUAAAACUAAAUGGACUACGCUAAUAUGUGAUGAGAUGGAUAAAAUUAAUAUGUUCUCAUAUUUUUCAAUGGGGUCGGUUGGAUCGGUUUAUACAACUCGAAAUCCAUGUCCAACCCAACUAAAUCGGGUUAAUACUUUUUCAAUCCAAUUACUUAUCGGGUUUUGUGUAAACACAUAUUAUAGGGGCCCCAAUAGCGCUAAAAAUGCAAACUAGACAAGCAUACAAGUAACACAUCGACCACAUUUGUAGAGUAAAGCUCCGAGAUGACACGAGAUGAGGGCAAAUAUGCGAUAUUCAUGAAUAAAUGUUUUACUAAUUUGCAUUCACCUUACAUUUUCAAGUAUUGUUUAGUCCCAUUUUCUCGAAUCUUUGUGAUGUUAUAAUUUUAAUUGCAACUACAUGUAAUAUUUCUUGUAUAUAUAAUAUAAAUUAUUGCAUUAUAAUACUAUAGGUUAAUAUUUAGCCCUUCAUGAAUACUCUUUCCAUUCCAAAUUAGAUGAAGUCAUUGAUUUUGACAUACAAUUUAAAAUUUAUUGGCCGCAAAACUACAUAACUUGUUUUUAAAAUUUUAUUUUGUAAAUAAAAAUUUAAAUAUGAAAUUUUUGUUUGCAAAACAAUUUUUAAAAAAAUAAAUUACAAAAUUUGAUGGUCAAUGUAACUUAAGUUUCGUGUCCAAAAUCAAAAAACUCAUUUAAUUCGGGAUGAAGUGAGUAUAAUAAAUAUUAAAUUUUAGUUAAAAAUUCUAAUAUAGAAUAAAAUAGGAAAUUUUAGCAAAUAUACUGCUUUUUGUAAGUUUUUUUUUUAAAAUUUCACUAUCUUCUGAAUAUAAUUCAGAAUAUACUGUGCAAAUUCGUGCAAGUUCAAUAUUUUUGCAUAGAUAUAAACCCGAAAUUCUAUAAUUUCAUCCUCCACUUCUUCUCCUCAAUCUCUACCCUCCACUUCUUCUCCUCAAUCUCUACCCUCCACUAUCAAAGCUUCCCCUUCAUUCACCCCUUACCGUUCCACUUACUACAUCCUCCUCCCCUACACUCCCCGUCCUCUCUCCCCUCUGUCUGCAAGUCCCACAAUCUUAAUCAAUCCAGCCUGAACUCCAGUCGCGCCGCCCUCAUCAUCGUGGCUUUCUCAUCUUUCGACAUCUCUCUCCACACACCGGUACAACCGCAGCCUGGCUAUAACGAUCGGCAGCGGCGACAUCUGUAACGGUCGGAGGCGGCGACAUCUGCAACGAUCAGCGGUAGCCUGGCCACCCCUCUUCCCAGGCAUUCAUUAACAACCAAUUAACACAAAAUAUACACCUAAAUAUACAUCAAUUCAUCACCAAUAUACCGGUUGAUUUCAGUAGAGUUUAGUUAAUCUUGUUAUUGUUUUUAGUUGAUUUUGUGUUAUUAUUACCGGCCCGUAGGAACACUUAAUUAACUCUCCAUCUUCUUCAUUUUAAUCGAUUAUUUUUAGCUGAUUUUGAAUAAAAAUAACUAUGAAGUUCAUUGUUUGUAAUUUGACUAACAUGCUCUUGAACAAUCGGAUCAAACUCCGCCAACAUCUCAAUCAAACCCAAAAAAUUUCCAUUAUUAUUCUAAAAUAAUUUUUCGUUAAUACCACGAAAGGCUAAAUUAUAUUUGCAAGAUAUUUCACAAUAGUAAUAAUUCUUUUCAAGAUAUUUCUCCAAUGACCUUAUUUCUUCUUGAUGAGAUCUUGAACCACUUUAUCAAUGGUUUGGUUACUAUUAAGUCUCAUACGUAAAUCAUACCAAAUAGACAUAUUUUUAAUAUGAUUCAUACUUGUUUCAUGCUCUCUAAGCCAAGCACCAAGAUGUCUCCAAUCAUGAUUACCCCUAAAUAAUUUACAACAAAAGCAGAACACUUUAUCAAGUUCUUUGGAAUAUACAAGCCAAUCCCUAUCACAUUUUUCUCCAUUUGCUAAAGUUCUAGUAUACAAUGCAGAAAAAAGACAUCGAGAAACAUCAUUUCUAGGCCUUUAUAUAUAAACCCAUCUCUUUUUGGACCAUUAACUACUAAAACAUCAAUCAUUUUUGAAUCAAGGGACUCCCAAUUUCUAGGAUCAAAUAUAUCUUUCAUAAAAUCUGCACCAAAAUUCACAUCAAGUGUAUUAUCUAUUUUAUCAUUAACAUUUUCAUUAUUAUUACAAUCACUAGAUAAUUUCUCUUCACUCAAAAUCAAAUCCCUCUCAAUAUUAAGAUCAGUUUCAUUCAAAUUCUCAUCCUUAUAAACCUCGAUAUUUUGAUUGUCAUCAAGUUUUUGAGAUUUUUUAAUUAUAAAAUUAUCGAGAGAUCCUUUCUGAGAUUGAACCAACUCUUCAUCUUUUUUUCUUUUUCUUUUUCAUUUUUCAUAUCCAGAUGCUUGUUUUCUAGGAAGCAUGAUAAAAAAAAUUACAAAUCACUGCAAUCAAACAAAUAAAGAAAAUAAAAUAGAAAAGAAAAUGAUCCAAAAUAAAGAUUGAGAGCAGAAUAUGGAUUUGAUAGAUAUAACCUGAUUGGAGGCUUUUAAAAAAUAAAAUUCAGACGAUUUCUACAUCCAUUUGAUGAACACAGGAGCUUGAAAUCUUUGAUGGAGUGUGGAGAAGAAAUGAGAUGAUAGUGGACAGAUGAGUCACUAAAGAUAGGUUUGCCGAUCAAAAGUUUUGUUUUUUUUGGCGAAGUUAGAAUAAAAUAUGUGUGUGGAGUUUAACUGCUUGUACUAGUAUGUGAGGAGAGAGAGGGAAGAAGAAGAGACAUUCACGGUUGGGUUUUGGGAAUUGAUUAGUGUUUAAAUAAAAUAAUGGUAAAAAUUAAAGAGAUAUUAAUAUUAUAUUACAUUUAUCAUGAGUAUACUAAAAGAUAAAAGGAAGUAGUCAUAAAUUGAGGCCCCUAAAUUUGCAUGGGCCCUGUGCUGUUGCACUUGCUCAAAAUCGGCCCUGAGUUAGACAGUUGUGUUCUUAAAAUGGAUUAAGUUGAUCACAAGGUUGCAUAUUAGGAUGUUAAGUUGCAUAUAAUGUUGCAAAUGUUUAAUAAACAUUAUAAUACUAACAUGCAACAAAAAAUCAACUAGAACUACUAAAAUGUUUAAGCCACAUAUAAUGUAAUUUAAACAACUGUUUGUUACAGAUUAUUUAUGCAGUAUUUGGUGAAUACGAAGUAGAUGCAUGUGUUGUUGAAUGUUAAGCUUUAUAUAUGUUGUCAAUUGUUGAGAUUUUGUCUUUUUAAAGUUACAGAUCUAUUUAUAUAUUAUGGUGCAUACGAGGUUCUCUUCGGUGUCUUGUUGUCCUUCAGAGUGUGCAACUGCUUCAAAUGGGAAAUCUAAGAUGACCCCAAAGGAAGUUGAUAUGAUAAACUCAAACUUAAAAAGGAAAGGCAAGAGGGUGAACUUUACAAUUCAAGAUAAUAUGAUUCAUGUCCUAAGGUACUGCAUUCUUUUCACAUACUAGUAUGAUAUUGAUUAUGUAUUUGUAUUAACUAUUUUAUAUUUUACAGGGGAUGCAAUAUGUUAUUCAUGUGAAAGAGCACUAGUCAACAAAAAUUAACACAAAUAACAAGUAUGAUGUUGAUAAUCAGGUGCAUCCAAAAUAUAAUAUUUUGUUUAAAGCUACAGUUGAUAUUGGUUUGAGAACCUGCACAUGCAAUAGGUUUUAAAUGGACCAGCUUCCUUGUACUCAUGGAAUUGUUGUUUUACAAAAGGUUAAUCAUGAACCAUAUGAUUAUUGUUCACCACAUUAGAAAAGGGAAGCAAUGGUUCAUGCUUAUGAAGAGACAGUGUUCCUUGUUGGUCACAAAGACACCUCCACAAGGACAAGUAAGAGUGGGCAGACAAAAAAAAAAGAAGAUGCAAAACUCUUGGGAGAUAAAUGGAAAACAACAUGAACAAGUCAAAUACUGGAAUUGCAAUCAAUAUGGACAUAAUAGAAGAACUUGUCGAAAUCUUCCACUCAGAAUUGCUUGAACUACUAUUUUUAUAUAUUUGACUUUGAAAAAUAUUUGUUGUUUGAUUGAGGUUAAGGUAUAAAGUGGCAUUGAUAACUUAGUUUCAGUUGCAUUUUGAUCUAGUUGAUUUUUGUUGCAUAUUAGCGUUAUAAUGUCUAUUAAACAUUAGCAACAUUGAAUGCUACACUAUAUGCAACUGUCAACCCUAAUAUGCAACAUUGUAAUCAACUUUACUCUAUUUUCAAAAUCCAAAGUGCAGCUUCAUUGCGGGGCCAAUAAUCCAAAUGAAUUCAAUCUUAUCAUGUCUUUAGAUAGUUCUUGGUCCAUGUCUCGUCUCGAAGUCAUGCAUUGGCAUGAUAUUACUUAUAAGUUAGUCCAUACUCAAAGUCUUAAUUUGGUAUCCAAGAACGUAUAAACCUACAAUGCAACAACACAUGCAACUUAAUAAUAUAAUAUGCAACAUUAUAUGCAACGGGUUUUAUAUCAACUUGCCCGCCCAUCUCGCCAAAAAGACUCAAGUAGCACAUAGGUCUCCACGACGACUCAAUUAAAAGACUAAUCAUUUAUAUAAUAUCCCGCCAUUAUCUUUUUAAAUUUUUUUUAAUGGCUGUGGUGACGUUGCAGUAGUCCAUACGGGAAGAUGGUGUGACAUGACAGUGUUGACUCUAACGGCUAAUAUGACCAAGUCCCCUUAUAUAUACACAUAUAAACACAACGGCUAUGUUUAGCGUUCAUCAACCAUACACCAAAAAAUCUUUCUGUCUAUAGAAAAUCUUUUUAAUUCCUUUCACAGUUAAUAUCAGGAGCCAACAAAACUCGAAACCCCCAUGUCGGUCAUGUCGAACUCGUCGUUGUAUUGGCAACCAUGUCUACCCACAACGUGGUCGUAUGUGAUUUUGGCUUUAACGCUUGACUUCGAACCUCGUGGACUGCCAAAAAAUCAGGGAGACGUUUCUAGAGUUGUGUGAAGAACAAGGUUAGUUUUUUUUUGUUAUUAAACUAAUUGUUGGUAAUUAAUUUGUUUAAAUAAAUUAGUUAAUCUCCUUUUUAGGAUGAAAACAGCUGUAAUUUUUUCAUGUGGAUGGACAGAGAGGUGUGUGAAGGAGCAAGACUGUAAUAAGCGAGCUCAAACAAAGGACAGUGAUGCUUGAGGACAAAAUUUCGAAGCUAGAGGGGAAGCUAUGUAAACAAAAAAAGAAGACACAGUUGCUAAAAAUCCAAAAGUAAGCUCAGAAUUUUUUAUUAAUUAGUGUGUUAUUGUGUAUGCUAGCAGUGAUUGUGAUGUUAGCUGUGAGGAAGGAAAUUACUAGUAGUAGAAUGGACAUUUAUUUUGAACUAUUAAAUGUAACUAGUAAACAUAUUAAAGUAGUGAAAAAUGACUUCCAUAAUUGUCAAGCAAAACCAAAUUUUCAAGCAAAGGAAAUUACAUUUUGUCUGAGCAACAUAUUGUCUGAGCAAAUGAAAGAUAAGUACCAAAAGAUACCAUGAUGUCUACAGAGUAAUAAUUAGCAUCAUAACUUAGCAAAAUAAGUACCAAAAAAUAGUCUACUCAAAAGUUUGCAUUUAAAAUAAUUAAAUAGUUAAGGAUCCAGGAUCAGGAUUGGUAUUUUUCUUGUUGGACUUGUUCUUCUUGAAGGUUACCUCCCUCAACCUAGGAUUCCUCCCAGGAGGUACUACUGCUCCUUCCUCACUGUAACUUUCACUUUCACUUUCAGAGUUUCCAUAGCCUUGUUUGGAGGAGUAGUCCAAACCCAUGAGCUCUAUCUUGAUUCACUGUAAACUGCAUCAUACCCUAGAGGUCCUAAAACCUUGUACAUAAAUUUAGAAGGGUCACUGGACUCUGCAGGUGGAGGUGGAGUUGGAUUAAUCUUAGAAGCCUGAGUUGGAAUGACAUCUGGAGCACUCUGUGACCCUCUUGGUUCACAACUGGCUGUGGCCUUCUAACAUGCAACUUUUGCCUAAACACAUUUUUGCCACCAGUUGGUAGUCUUCCCAUCCCCAACUUUUUCCUUGUAAACACUUUGACACUAGAAGGUCCUCCUCUAGUUGCUGCAGUGCUUUAAGUCACUGUAUCACCUUGGUCCCACUGGUUCUCACCUCCUUGAUUUCACCAACUUCAUUCCCACCUCACUGAUUCUCACCAACUUCAUUUCCACCUCCCUGAUUUGCUGGGCAUUUGGGUCUCCUGUGGCCAGUCUGCUUACAGAUGAUGCAGUGUUGGAUUCUUCCUGACCUAAACCUUUGCACCUUUGGAACAUCUGUCUCAACUGGAUUUUUUUCCUUCUUGCUGCUGCCACACUCCAAUUCCUUCCUCCUACUCAACCUCUUUGGUCUGCCUCUCAGUUACUUAGGGAUCUCUGGUGGAAGGAGUUUCUCUAGACUGUGCUCUUCCUAGUAGCCCUCCCCUUUGAGAGCCUCAAGGUUGUAACUGUAGGAGGCAAGAUACAUGUCUCUCUCAAAAUAUUCAGAGACAAAGUCACCUGGAUGCAUCUUUCUACCAUGUAUGGCAGCAACUGCAUGUGCACAUGGUAUGCCUUUAAGAUCAAAGACCCUACAGUCAAGCUUUUUUUGUCCAAAUCCACAGUGACAGCUUUAGUGCCACUUUUAACCAAGUACCUAGUUGCUCCUUCCCAUGAUGCUCUCCACUCCUUUGAUUGUUUGACAUAUAUGUCCAGUUGCUUCUUAAUCCUAGGAUAUAUAUGCAUAUCACUUACUAUCAUCUCAUCUCUUUUUUCCCUAAUUCUUUGCAUCAGCUUGAAAUGUAUUUCUUGCAUCAUGGUUAACAGUGGCAAGUACUUAAUAUAUAAAGUACAUAUUGGAUUAUAAAUAAAGGAUAGAAGUACAUUUCACUAAUAACAUAAAUAGCACAUUAAUAAAAGAAUCAGGAAAGUACCUUUCAUUAAUAAUCCAUGAGUUAAAGCACACAGACAUGUUACUUUCAAUGUUGUCAGCCUUAGGAACAGUGGAAAUAUGAGCUUUUGUCCACAAUGCAGGGUCUAAUUUUUUGAGCUGGUCUGUGCAGGUUUGCAUAGCUUCAAGAUUUGUUUCAUAGCAUUCUGAUGAGCAACUUGAUGUGUGUUACAUGCAGCAAUCCAAAAUUAUCUCUUUAACAAUGUUGAAGGAUACCUACAUUAAGCAUGAUAGGGACAAUACAUUAAAAUAAUGUUGAAAGGGACAUGACAUUAUAGUUUCAAACUUAACAACUUCCGUAAAAAAAAUUUAAGCGGAUAACGGCGGGAUAUUAGAUAGAUGAUUAGUCUAUUAAUUGAGUCUCCGUGGAGACCUAUGUGCUACUUGAGUCUUUUUGACGAGAUGGGUGGGCAAGUUGAUAUAAAACCCUAUAUGCAACUUGGUACCCUGAUACACAUAUUGGUUUAUAAUAUGCACACACUUAGUUUCAAGAAAAAUUACUUAAGAUCAUCUAUCUUAAAACUCACCCCUCUCAUUCAAUAGAUGAAUAUUCAUAUUAAUUAAACUACCCACUUAUAGUUGUAAAUUGUUAAAAUUGCUACUAUGCAACUUAAUAAUCCAAUAUGAAAUAGUAUAUGCAACUUAUCAAAUAACUAUGCAACUUCAGUAUCUUUAAAAAUUUAUUAUUUUAAUAUGGAACUUGUCAACCUAAUAUGCAACAUAUUAUGAAACUCAGUAAUAUGAUAUAAAAAAUUAUAUGCAACUUGGUGCCCUGAUAUGCAACUAGAAACCGAAUACAAACUUAAUAAUUUUUAAACGAACCAAAUCGUAUGUUUUCAAACCGUAUCAGUUACAUAAUUCAAUACAAACUAGUAUCCAAUGAGGCCACCCUUUCAUUGAAGCAUUUAAUGCAACAAAGACGUAUAAGAAACACCCAUCCACUCCCACUUUAAAACUAACAUUUGGUCCUGGAUUUUUAUGAUGCAACAUAUACAAAUAAGACACCAGUUGAGCAUAAAAUUCAUUUGCGUUGCCUCUAACAAUCUCUUGCGUUUUUCCUUAGAUCUCCAAGCUUUCUUGUACUUCAGUUGCACUUUAUAAUCAUGCUUCAUGUCUUUUAUUAUAUCUACAACUGAGUAUAUUUUGUUUUGAUAUUGGUGUAUUUGUUUUUUAUGAUGUCUGCAAUGAUGGUUGCAGUGGCUUGUCAUUGAUCUUUAAAUCUUAACUCUAGAUCACAGGUGGUCAACCAAAUUCCGUAUUAUGAAUUGACUUAUUUGCCCAUUCCAUGAUGCUCGCAUCAUCUAGCUGCAGUUUUUGUUGAGACAAGCAACCAAAUACUCCUUCUGGCAAGACUUCUUAACAUAAUACUGGAAAUUAUUACGAAUGGCAUAAUGACGCAAAACUAUCUUCAGUGUUUCUCUAUCUUUGUAUAUUUGAUCCAAUUCUAUGUGUUCAUGUUGCUUGUUGCUAAUGACAAACUUCUUCUCAAUAUGAGUUGCAUCACCAAUAUUUUUAAACAUGUUUGAGAUAUCCAAAAGUUGCCUAGAUAUGAGUUCUACAUAGUCAAAUAAUCUGCAAUCAUUUCGCCAUCCAUUUUAGUAAGUUAAUUUGAUGUUGCAUCUUCAGGUUUCACUGCUUCAAUACACACAUAAUCACUUGUUGUUCCACUCCUACUUGACGUGAUAGUGUCUUGAACAUUAUUUUCUCCGUUUGUCAAACACAGAGGAUAUCUUGUAAAGUCUAGUUCUCUUUUCUUCAACUCAAUAUAAAACAUAAGUUGAUAAUCAUUAGCAAUAUCAAAUGGAGGAUAAUUAUCUCUAACUUGAUACUCGAUUUUUGUUGUAGAUGAUUAUGGAGAAAACAUCAGUUCAUUGAGAAUAAGUCCUAGCAAGUUAUUAUAAGUGCUAAGUGCAGUUUCUUGGAAUCAGCAAUCCGCAGACCUUAAAGUUGAUGUAGUUUUGAAUUUCAUUCCAUUGGCCACCAUGUUGUACAAUGACUGUGAUAUUUACCAUCAUUCAAAAAAUAAUAUCAAAAAUCAAUACCCAAUCGCAACUACAAUCAAUAUAUAGCAACUAUACCAACUCAAUUUUAAAUUAGAAUAGUCAAAUUUAGCAGCAACUCAAUUAGCAUGUUAGGUGGAUUACAAUAUGAUAAAUUAGAAUAAAUCUUAAUUAGAACUGCAAUCAACCAAUUUCAACAACAUCAACUAUAGUAGCUCAAUUUUGAAUUAUCGUAAUAAACUUUAGCAACUAAUAUGGGUCAUAAAUAAUAUUUAACUAUUAUUAGAUAUUAAAGGCCCAAAAAUUUGAAAGCCCGGUUAAUUAGGGCCUGAGACACUUAAAUAUUAAUUAAUUUCGUAAUUAAUUAAUAAUGUCCACAAGCAGGUCCACGAUUGAGCUACUUGGACUGUCAAAAUCCAAGAAUUGAGCUUCCAGCCCACUCGAGGCUGGAAUCCAGUAACCAGCCCUGUCAAGGCCCGGAUGCACAAAUCCUACUCCAAGUAGGAAACUGAAUAGAAGGCUCUAGAACCUCAGCGUUCUACGAGUAUUCUAACUUUUCAACGAUAAACAUCUAGUGUUCUAGAUAAAUGUCAAUUUUACAAGAUAAGAGUCUUAUCUUAUCACAAGACAAGAAGCCUACUUCUACAAGGUUUCUAAUACAUGGAAUCACACUUCCAUACAGUCUCUAACACCGAGACAUCUAUAUAAAGGGCUCUAGCCCUCCAAACCAGAACUACGUUCAGACUUGAUUCUUCUCAGAGCAGAAGAUACUUAGGCAUCUCGAAUCUCGAGAACAGUCUUAAAAGCACGACGCUUCACCUUCAUUUUUUGAUCCAUAACAUUUGGCGCCGUCUGUGGGGUGAAGACAACAACCAUGGUUAGACCCGCGAGAUUACGCUCAGAAGUCCAUCCUCCGUCAACCGGAGACAACACUGCAACCCAAAAUCCACCCUCCACUCAUGUCACCGCUGGAACCUCCACUCAGCCAAUUCCGCUCUCCACCCACACGGCUGGAACCUCGAAUCCAACUAUCAUCGCUCCCCAAUGCUCAGCUCCGAUGAUAUUCCAGCACGUUGCCCCCUAUGACUAGCCUCGUGGCAACAACCACCGCUGGUGGAACUCACUACUCAACAGUCAUGACGACCACAAGAGGACAAACAGAUGAGUAUGAAGUUUACACAGACAACGACUCCUCUGAAGAGUCGGAGAGGGACUAUGAUAUUCCCCCACGUAGAAGGAGAGACGGAAACCAGGGCCGAGAUUCCCGACAUCAUACUAGACGAAACAAUCCUGAGUCCCGAGGACCUAUGCAUCAGGAAUAUGAAGCCAGAAUUCGCCUUCGAACAUCAAAUCGAACAAUUAAGAAGAGACAUGGCCACCCACCAAGCAAGGCAGCAACCUCCCGAACCGAAGGUUGAAACCCCUCAGAACACAGGUAUGACACGAAUCCAUCUAUUGCCUCCCGGUGAUCCAGACAAUCAUGUCCCACCAUUCACUGAGGAGAUCAUGGCCGCAAGGAUUUCCCGGAAGUUUAAGUUGCCCACUAUCAAGGCGUAUGACGGAACGGGUGAUCCCGCUAAUCAUGUACGGACCUUCAUGAAUGCACUGUUGUUACAACCAGUCACAGAGGCCAUCAAGUGUCGAGCUUUUCCUCAAACCUUGAGCGGGAUGGCACAACACUGGUUAGUCGUCUACCCCCUAAAUCUAUAUCUUCGUCUGCUGAUUUGAGUCGAGCUUUCAUAGGUUAGUUCAUUGGAAGUAAGACCCACGCCAAGAGUUCAGCUUCGUCGAUGAACCUUCACCAGGGCAGGAAUGAGUCCCUUAGAGAUUAUAUGAACAAGUUCACCAAAGAGGCUCUCAAGGUCCCUGAUUUGGACCAAAAAGUAGCAAUGAUAGCCCUACAACAAGGAACCACGGAUGAAAAUUUCUGCCGAUCACUAGCCAAGAGGGCCCCUGGCAAUAUGAAUGAGCUCCAAGAAAGGGCUAGGAAGUAUAACAAAGCUGAGGAGAGUUUGAAGAAAUCUCAGGUUGUCCAAGGACAAACCUCGAACCCUAAGAAACGUGGAAACGACACCGAGUACAAUGCAGAUAAUAAGUAUUCAAAACCCGGAGAUGAUGACAAGUCAUCCACGAAGAGGAAAUCCGGACCGAGGUUCACCGAAUAUGCAAGGCUGAAUGCCCCAAGAAGUCAAAUUCUGAUGGAAAUUGAGAAGGAAGGAGGAGUUCGAUGGCCGAAGCCUAUCAGAACUGAUCCUGAGAAGAGAAACAAGGAUCUAUACUGCAGGUUCCACAAAGAUACGGGACACAAGACCGAUGAUUGUCGGCAAUUGAAGGACGAGAUUGAGUUUCUAAUUCGGAAAGACAAGUUGUCUAGGUACACCAAGGAGGGUGAUAAGAAUCCCCGAGGCAAUGAUAAUCGAGGGAAAGACAGUGACGACAGUGAUAGGAGGAAUCAGCCUCGAGGGCCUGUGGUUAAUGUAAUCCCUGGAGGACCAACCGCUGUUGGCACAUCUAGUAACUCGAGGAAGGCUUAUGCCCGGGAAGUGAUGAGUAUUGUUGGAGGACCCCCGAUGAGGGCGAGAAUUGAGCUUCCUCUGACUUUUGAUGAUUCAGAACUUGAAGGGGUAAAGUUCCCCCAUCACGAUCCAUUAGUAAUCACACCCGUGAUCGGGAAUUCAUCUGUGAAGAGAGUCCUUGUGGACAAUGGGGCAUCUGUUGAUAUACUAUUCCAUGACGCUUAUGAGAAGAUGGGAUAUGCUGAUUCACAAUUAACACCUUCAGAUAUGCCUAUAUACAGUUUUAAUAACGCGGAGACGAAAAUUGAAGAAAUGAUCCAACUACCGGUAACAAUGGGAGCCGAGCCUAGACAAGCCACAUGUAUGUUGAACUUCUUGGUUGUUAAAGCCUCAUUAACCUACAAUGCUAUCCUUGGAAGAACAGGGAUACAUUCUUUUAAAGUAAUUCCAUCCACUUACCAGUUGAAGAUCAAAUUCCCAACUAGGAACGGAGUGGGAGAAGAAAUAGGAGAUCAAAAAAUAGCUAGAAGUUGUUAUGUGGGGCCUUUGGAAACCGGAGGAGUCGGGGGCAAUUUAUGCCUAUUGAAGAUCUAGAUGACAGGGGAGAGGAGGAAAGAAAAGGCAAGCCUGCUGAGGACUUGGUCCCUAUCGCCCUAUAUCCUGAUGAGCCGGAGAAGGUUACCUUCAGUGGGGUUUCACUCCCCGGGGACUUGAAGGUUGAGUUUGUUAAAUUCCUGGGAACAACCGUGAUGUCUUUGCUUGGACAGCUGCUGAUAUGCCAGGUAUUGACCCCUCCUACAUGACACAUAAGUUGAAUGUUAAUCCUGAUAGGAAGCCGAUACAGCAGAAUAAAAGAACUUUUGCACCUGAGAGGCAAGAGGCCAUCAGACAGGAGGUUGAGAAAUUGUUGGAAGCUGGGUUCAUAGAGGAGAUUCAGUUCCCAGAGUGGUUGGCAAACCCGAUCAUGGUCAAGAAAGCUAAUGGGAAGUGGAGGAUGUGUGUAGACUUCACGGACCUCAACGAUGCUUAUCCAAAGGACUGCUUUCCUCUUCCGAGGAUUGACACAUUGAUAGAUGCCACUAAUGGCCACGAGAUGUUCAGUUUCAUGGAUGGUUUUAGUGGAUACAACCAGAUCCGGAUGGACAAAAACGACGUUCCUAAGGUAUCAUUCAUCACAGACUUUAGUAUAUUCUAUUACUUAGUUAUGACCUUUGGUCUUAAGAAUGCAGGAGCCACGUAUCAGCGGUUGGCAAACAAGAUGUUUAAGCAUCUGAUUGGGAAGAUCAUGGAGGUCUAUGUUGAUGACAUGCUAGUCAAGAGUUUAAAUAAGGCUGACCACCUCGAACACCUUAGUGAGGCCUUUGAAGUCCUGAGGAUGCAUAAGAUGAUAUUGAAUCCAGCUAAGUGUGCCUUCAGAGUUGGAUCAGGCAAGUUUUUAGGUUUGAUGGUCUCCAAACGUGGAAUCGAGGCUAACCCCGACAAGAUUAAGGCUAUCCUCGACAUGGAACCACCUAAGACCAUAAGGGAUGUUCAGAAGUUUACUGGAAGGAUUGCAGCCGUGGGGCAAUUUGUAUCCAAGUCUGGAGACAAGUGUUUGCCUUUCUUCAAGGCACCCAAGAAGGUCAAGAACUUUGAAUGGACAGAGGAGAGCCAAGUGGCCUUUGAGGAGUUGAAGAAAUACAUGGCAGAGCCACCUCUUCUCUCGAAGCCUGUGGAUGGUGAAAUUCUAUAUGUCUUAGUUUGUGAAGACGAGAAAGUCCAGAAACCCGUCUACUAUGUUAGCAAGGUUUUGCAUGGAGCAGAGCUCAACUACUCCGUGAUCGAGAAGUUUGCGUUGGCUAUAAUUACAGCCUCGAGGAAGUUGAGACCUUACUUCCAAUCUCAUAAGAUUGAAGUCUUGACUGACCAGCCCCUUCGUAACAUAAUGCAUAGCCCGAAGGCUAGUGGAAGAUUGAUAAAGUGGGUAGUUGAACUUGGAGAAUUUGAUAUUCGACACAAGCCCUGGAUGGAAAUCAAGGCUCAAGCUCUAGUUGACUUCAUAGUUGAAUGUACCAUUGACAACCAAGAAGUCGGGGGGCAGGAGGAGAAGGAUAAGAUGGAUGAGUCCAAGAAAGUAGAGGAGCCUAUAGAACAGGAUCUGUUCUAUAGGCUCGUACCUCUGUCCAAGAAAGUCGUAUGUGAUUCCUUACUUUAGAUGUUUGAGGCCGGAUGAGGCUCGAGAAACCUUGAGAGAGGUUCACGAAGGAGUGUGUGGACAACACCUUGGUGGAAGGGCAUUAGCACACAAGGUCACCCGCCUCGGAUUUUAUUGGCCUGACAUGUUGAAGCAAGCUCAGGACUAUGUCAAACGGUGUGAUAGGUGUCAGAGGUUUGCACCCAUUGUACGUCAGCCCCCUAAGAUGUUAACAUCCAUCAAUUCCCCGAUUCCUUUUGCUAUGUGGGGGAUGGACAUCCUAGGGCCCUUCCCACUCGCUAGUGCACAGAAGAAGUUUUUGAUAGUUGCGAUCGAUUACUUCACAAAGUGGAUUGAGGCCAAACCCCUAGCCAAAAUAACCACGAAGCAGGUUGCUCAAUUCUUCUGGGAGAAUGUUAUAUGUAGGUACGGUAUACCUCAAGUCCUGGUUACUGACAAUGGAACACAGUUCAACAAUGAUGAGUUUCAAGGGUACUGCAGGGACUACGACAUUAAGUUACGAUUCACCUCGGUAGCACAUCCACAAGCCAAUGGACAAGCUGAAGUUGCGAACCGAAUAAUUCUCGAUGGACUAAAGAAGAGAGUUGAGAAAGCUCAAGGCGCAUGGGCAGAGGAUAUCCUUCCGAUCCUAUGGGCUUAUCGAACAACCUGUAAGGUCACUACCGGAGCCACUCCCUUUCAGCUAGCCUAUGAAACUGAGGUAGUGGAGCCCCUCGAGGUCACUCACACUUCCCCAAGGAUCGAGCAAUUUGACCCACCAACCAACGAGGAUGGAAUGAGGUUGGCUCUUGACAUGAUUGAUGAGGUCCGAGACCAAGCUCAUGCGAAGAUAGUGGAAAACAAGAAACGAGGAGAAAGACCUGCAUCAUGUUUGGAAUCUCUUAAAUAUUAUUGAAUAGUUAAAACAACACGCAAUAGAAUCUGAGUUAAAAGCGUGAAAGAUUUUCAUUAUAAACACAGUGUACACAACAUGAUAGAUUCAAAAAAAAACAUUACAUUCAUCGAUACGAACUAGGAUAUUCUCUGACAUUUUUUUUUGUCAUAAAAACGGUUGUAUUAAACCAAAUCGAAAGUUACAAAUCCGGAUGGACAGAGUUUCCUUCGUUCAAGAAGGUAUAUCAUCUAACCGAAAGUAUGUAAAUACUCCGGACGCUUAGAUAACAUAGCCUUUCAAGUCAGAAGAGAUAACCCACAAAAAAGGGCCUCGUUAAAACCCCUCAAGAGU
This 26008-nucleotide long non-coding RNA is filed under the name Daucus carota (carrot). Its description in RNAcentral is "long non-coding RNA (DCAR_LNC000890)". Lineage: Eukaryota; Viridiplantae; Streptophyta; Magnoliopsida; Apiales; Apiaceae. The record is from RNAcentral.